Non-coding RNA from Acanthosepion pharaonis, 111 nucleotides. NCBI's taxonomy places the organism in Eukaryota, Metazoa, Mollusca, Cephalopoda, Sepiida, Sepiidae. The record is from the annotation of a GenBank genome assembly.
CGACCGCAUCACGUUGAAACACCGGUUCGCGUCCGAUCGCCGAAGUUAAUCAACGUGAAACCAACUAAGUACCUAGAUAUGUGACCGCUUGGGGAUACCAGGUUCUGUAAG